AAGCGUUGUCCCCCAGACUCGCCCACAGGGCUCAGCCAGCACAUGUGCUGGUGUACUCCCUGCUGGGCGGGCCAGCAUCGGUUUGGGCGGCCGCUGAAAGGCCCCGGGAAUGUAGCACCCUCCGGGGUGCCUUAUAGCCCGGAGUGACAUGCGACCUGCCUGGACCGAGGCCCGCGCUUCGGCGAGGAUGCUGGCGUAAUGGAGGUCAAC
RNAcentral lists this ribosomal RNA (210 nucleotides) under Talaromyces sp. RNAcentral's name for it is "partial large subunit ribosomal RNA". The record is from RNAcentral. Lineage: Eukaryota; Fungi; Ascomycota; Eurotiomycetes; Eurotiales; Trichocomaceae.